UCACUUUAGCCUUGUGAAGAGGAAGGAGCAGAAAACGCUGCUCAGCAAGGCUGCAAGGCCAUGAAAUUGCGUUAAGCAACGCUCAUGAAAAUGACUGGAUUUGCUAUUUUAGUUGUGCUACCUGGCUUGACAAGGAUAAGGACACACGAAUCUGAAAUAAGGCUUGGACUGAGAUAUUUAGAAGGUGAGGGGUUUUAAAUCAGUCAACUAAUUUGUGUGACCGUUUUCUCUGGAAGACCAGUGCCACCAAUUACAGUAAGAACAGAUUUAAGCAUCUUAUUUCUGUUGAUUGCUUUUGAAUGUCUCAUCCUGGUUAUACAGUGAUACAAAUAUAUCUUUUAAAAACAAAACAAAAACACCACACAAGUG
This 369-nucleotide long non-coding RNA is filed under the name Phasianus colchicus (ring-necked pheasant). RNAcentral's name for it is "lncRNA (ENSPCLG00000004197.1)". Lineage: Eukaryota; Metazoa; Chordata; Aves; Galliformes; Phasianidae. The record is from RNAcentral.